RNAcentral lists this ribosomal RNA (239 nucleotides) under Morchella sp. RNAcentral's name for it is "partial large subunit ribosomal RNA". It matches the Rfam family "Eukaryotic large subunit ribosomal RNA", at positions 104 to 339 of the family's 3401-position model. Lineage: Eukaryota; Fungi; Ascomycota; Pezizomycetes; Pezizales; Morchellaceae. The record is from RNAcentral.
AAAGCUCAAAUUUUAAAGCUGACAUCUUCGGUGUCCGCGUUGUAAUUUUGUGAGGCAUCUCCGGGUAGGGCGCCGGCCUAAGUUCCUUGGAACAGGACGUCACAGAGGGUGAGAAUCCCGUGCUUGGCUGGCUGUCCCCGUCCAUGUGAGGUGUCUUCGACGAGUCGAGUUGUUUGGGAAUGCAGCUCAAAAUGGGUGGUAAAUUUCAUCUAAAGCUAAAUAUUGGUGGGAGACCGAUA